GAAUCCCGUCUUUGGCACGGAUGUACCAGGGCUUUCGUGAUGCGCUCUCGAAGAGUCGAGUUGUUUGGGAAUGCAGCUCAAAAUGGGUGGUGAACUCCAUCUAAAGCUAAAUAUUGGCGAGAGACCGAUAGCGAACAAGUACCGUGAGGGAAAGAUGAAAAGCACUUUGGAAAGAGAGUGAAACAGUACGUGAAAUUGUUGAAAGGGAAACGCUUGAAGUCAGUCGCGUCGACCGAGACUCAGCCUUGCCUCGGCUUGGCGUACUUCUCGGCUUGACGGGUCAGCAUCGAUUUUGACCCUCGGAUAAUGAUGGGGGAAAUGUGACACCUUUAUGGUGUGUUAUAGUCCUCCGUUGUAUGCGCGGGUUGGGAUCGAGGAACUCAGCACGCACCUCUCGGUGUCGGGGCCUCGGCCCACGUUCACGUGCUUAGGAUGCUGGCGUAAUGGCUUUAAACGACCCGUCUUGAAACACGGACCAAGGAGUCUAACAUACGCGCGAGUGUUUGGGUGGAAAACCCAUGCGCGCAAUGAAAGUAAAAGUUGGGACCUCUGUCGUGGAGGGCACCGACGCCCGGACCAGACCUUCUGUGACGGCUCUGCGGUAGAGCGUGUAUGUUGGGGACCCGAAAGAUGGUGAACUAUGCCUGAAUAGGGUGAAGCCAGAGGAAACUCUGGUGGAGGCUCGUAGCGAUUCUGACGUGCAAAUCGAUCGUCAAAUUUGGGUAUAGGGGCGAAAGACUAAUCGAACCAUCUAGUAGCUGGUUCCUGCC
RNAcentral lists this ribosomal RNA (770 nucleotides) under uncultured Russula. Its description in RNAcentral is "partial 28S ribosomal RNA". It matches the Rfam family "Eukaryotic large subunit ribosomal RNA", at positions 216 to 962 of the family's 3401-position model. The record is from RNAcentral. Lineage: Eukaryota; Fungi; Basidiomycota; Agaricomycetes; Russulales; Russulaceae.